RNAcentral lists this long non-coding RNA (845 nucleotides) under Anser cygnoides (Swan goose). RNAcentral's name for it is "lncRNA (ENSACDG00005016392.1)". The record is from RNAcentral. Lineage: Eukaryota; Metazoa; Chordata; Aves; Anseriformes; Anatidae.
CCGGGCCGCCCCCGCCCCGCUCCGCCCCGGGGCCGUGCCGCCCCACAGCCCGGCCCCAUAAAGAGGCCGAGGAGGGAUGGGGGUGGCCCCUCUGCCCUCCCCCGGUGCGCCCUGCCCCGUGCGCCCUGCCCCGUGCGCCCACCCCGGUGCCCCCGGUGCGCCCUGCCCGGUGCCGGGGAUGCUUCGCCGCCGCGGAGCCUUCAGCGUGGAGCGGCUCCGGGGGCUCGAUGGUCCCUGGGAGACGGCGGAGAGCUGCGUGGUGCGCACGUCCGCCAGCGUCUACCGUCGGCUGCACGAGAGCCCCCGGAGCCCCCCGGUGGGGAUGAGCGGCGAGGAAUCGGGCGCUUGGGGCCCCCCGCAGCCCCGGCCAGCCCCGGGCAGCCCCCAGGCGAGCGGGCGGCUCCUCAAGUCGGAGUCGGAGGACUCCGGGGUGGAGAUGGCGAGCAACGAGAACUCGCCCUCCACCCCGCUGGGCUCCGAGAGCAGCUUCUCCCUCGAUGGCUUCCAGCCAGCCCGCGGGGACCCCCAGAAGAGCCCCCCGGGAGGGGAACGUGGUGCUGAGCCCCCCCGGCCCCUCCGCAGCCGCUCGGCCAGCAGGAAGCCGGGGCAGCAGCGCAGCAGGAGGCAGCGGCAGCUCAGCCGGCGCAGCACCAGCGCUGGGGACCCCCGGGGGCUUGGCGCCGAGGAGCCCGAAGCAGCCGGGGCCGAGGCAGAGGGGGCAAUGCCGGGGCAGGGGCUGCGGUACCUGGAGCACAUCUGCCAGAUGCUGGAGCGCGUGGCGCGGCUGCAGCAGGACAACCGGCUGCUCCGGCAGCAAGCGGCGGGCGCCCGGCGCGCCGGCACCA